CGCUGGCGGCGUGCCUAACACAUGCAAGUCGAACGCGCUCCAUUCGGUAGCAAUACUGAUGAAGAGCGAGUGGCGAACGGGUGAGUAGCACGUGAGCAACCUGCCCCGAAGACUGGGACAACACCGGGAAACCGGUGCUAAUACCGGAUAUCCCUAUCGGACCGCAUGAUCCGAUAAGGAAAUGGAUUCCGCUUCGGGAGGGGCUCGCGGCCUAUCAGCUUGUUGGUGGGGUAAUGGCCUACCAAGGCAUCGACGGGUAGCUGGUCUGAGAGGACGAUCAGCCACACUGGGACUGAGACACGGCCCAGACUCCUACGGGAGGCAGCAGUGGGGAAUCUUGCGCAAUGGGCGAAAGCCUGACGCAGCAACGCCGCGUGGAGGACGAAGGCUUUCUGAGUUGUAAACUCCUUUCAGCAGGGACGAUAGUGACGGUACCUGCAGAAGAAGCACCGGCCAACUACGUGCCAGCAGCCGCGGUGAUACGUAGGGUGCAAGCGUUGUCCGGAUUUAUUGGGCGUAAAGGGCUCGUAGGCGGUUUGAUAAGUCGGGUGUGAAACCUCCAGGCUCAACCUGGAGCCGCCACUCGAUACUGUCAUGACUA
RNAcentral lists this ribosomal RNA (601 nucleotides) under uncultured bacterium. RNAcentral's name for it is "bacterial SSU rRNA". It matches the Rfam family "Bacterial small subunit ribosomal RNA", at positions 34 to 643 of the family's 1533-position model. The record is from RNAcentral.